AGGAAGAGACGGCUUUUGCAAGCUGGAAGGGGUCUUUGUCUCCUGGCGACGAGGCUCCGACUCCAGUUCCUGUCUAAAUUGUUCCGUCUUCUACCCUCUAGGGUCUGCUAGGUGACUCUACCACAGCCCCUCUUAUCCCGUGACCUGCAGGUACUGGGAGAUCCCUAGGGAGGACGUCGGAACAUCUGGAAGCUGGAAAAUGGGAAGAUAUUUCUGGUACACUGAAGAAGGUAAUUUCGAAGAAUCAGACCCCUCAAGGGAUGCUGCACACCAUGGCACAUUUCUACCCAAUCUUUCAAAAUGUCCUUCCUGGACUGAGGAAAUGACUUGACAUAUACAACUCCACCUGUGACCAAAAGCACAUCUGCGUGGAGAAGGAGUGCCAUGUGACUCAGAUAAAGAAGAAUAAGAUAACUCCAGACAAACUUCAUACAGAACAAACAAAAUUAGCCUUAUCAAGAAAAAGGUAUGGUCCAAAUGUUUGCUCUUCAACAUUCAAAAGAUACAAAGUUGAUAGUAGCUCUUUGGUGAUAACAGAGAAGUCCAGAGUUCACCAAGCACAUUAGAAGCAUGUUUCAGAGCAUCCAUAAGCUUGUUUUUGUCCUACAGAAAUACCAAGAGAAUAGAUGAGAAUGCUUAAUUUAAAUAAACAUUUAUCAUGGUUGUACAAACUCUUUACAUCAAGGACUUGUUACAUAGUUUUAAAAGUAUACAGCACUUACAUGAUUUUAACCACAUUAAAAAAAAAAUCAACUUUAGAUCAUUUCACCUUGCCGUCUCUACUAAAAAGAAAAAGAUCCAUGACUCUUAGUAAGACUUACAUAGCUAGGACUGCAAGCUUCUUAAUACAAGGCUCAUCUGUUCAGCCUAUAGAGACUAGUAAACUAGCUCCUUUCAUCACGUUUUACCUGCAAUCAAGAGAACUGGCAUACUGAUUCAGGUGAGGCAAGAUACUAUCCUGACAUGGCUUUGUCAUGGGGUAAAGACUCUUCAGAGCUGUCUGAAAUGACUAUCCAUGUAAGUUUGCUUUCCUCUUGCAUUUUUCAAACCUUCACAAUGCCCGUAUGUUCCACUUAACUCAGAAAUGCAAGCAAUUCAGUGAGACAGAGGAAACACUAUCCAUAUACAGGAAGAGAAAGAAGCAAGCAAUAGCAAACCCAUCUUCUCCAUUCCAAGACAUUUAUUUUUCAUUCCCAAUUUGUUGGGAAUGAAACCAAUAAAAGACACCAGAGCAUAUCAUUAUGGUUUAGAAAACAUAGGAAGACAUUUUACAAAGAUAAGACAGCAUCAUCUUCAUCACAGUAAUUUAUAGCUUAAAGUACCAACCAAUUUGGCUCAAUUCCUUACAUUUUAAUCCAGAGAAUCUACAGUAUCUACACAGAUUAUCGCUUACUUUAUCCUUUAGAAUAUGAAAAUAUAUAAAUAAGUUUUAAGUAUAAUUUUUAAGCUAGCUUCUACAAUAAAAAUAUCUAUUCAGGAAAGAAAGUUUUCAAGAUAUUUAGAAAAAAGCUGAAUAAUUCAAUUGCAAAGCAUUUAAAUCCAUUCAUUCAACAAAUAUUUACAGAGUACCUAUUAUAUGCUAAGUACUCCUCAGGUCUGAGCUAUAGAACCAAGGAGGCUAGUAAUUCUGGUCAGACACUGGUGUGGUAAUAUUACAGUAAUGCGUAAAUAAAAGGAAGGGUCUCUUGCUCUUAUGAGCAUGUAUUCUAGUAGGGAAGACAGACAAUCCCAAACCAUAAAUAUACAUGUGAGUAAACAGGGCUCUUUGUUGAAAUUGCUCCACACAGUGCUUGAGGGACAUGAGACUGAAGAUACACACUGGUGGACAGUGAAGAUUAGAUUUACCAGAAAUAGUGGUGCCACCUAACUCUAGAAAACACUGCACAUGCUUCCUUAGGAACACACGAACUGCAACCGUGCCUCCCACAUUUCCAUUCUUACCAGGCAUCACUUCAUUUGGAAUGACUGGACCUUCACAGCCUGUAUGGCUUCAUCCAAGAGCUUCUCCGGCUUAUCCUGAGGGGACUGCUGCAUUGUAGGCUGAAAAAAUAAAAAAUGCCACUGACGUCUCAAGCACAUUCUUGUAGCAAAUAUGUUAUUUCUAUAGUUCUAGCCAUAGUCCUUCUCCAAGACUGUCACAGAAGGAUCAAUCCAGCUCUAUACCUCAGACCCAUUUACCAAUUAUUAACAGCUGCUGCACGCAGAGCCUUGCCCCACCACUGAAGUUAACAGAGUAAGAAUGACAAAGGAGAACAGUAUGUGUACAAAGAAUUGCCUCUCUCUCAGAAACGGACUCAACAUUGUUGUAGUAGGCUGGCAUCAAAGAAAUUUGCAGUGGUAGUUCAUGGCUGUGUUCUGCUAAUACACUCUGAAUCCAGCCCAGACAAAGCCAUCUGACCAAUCAAAAUCUUGUGAUAGGUAUAGCCGAAACCAGUCUCUAAAGCCUCUCUUUUCCCCUAGACUACUUAUCAUCUGCAUUUCAAUCUAUUAGACAAACUAAGGAACUAGUUUAUGAGAUCACUGACCAUUAAUAUGUACUAUUUACUAUGACAUUUACAUCCUCAUUACUAUUAUUUAUUCCCAAGUAAAGAUCUUUUACUUUAGAGAGUCAUUGUGUGUUUGUUGUUUAGGUUUACACAUAUGGUGUCGUAAAUGGGACCUGAAAAAUUUGCUAUGGGAAGGAAUUGGUGAUUCUCGGAGCACGUAUGCAGUCCUCACUUUGCACCGCUGAGUGCUCUGCUCCUGUAAGUCACCAUUUCUGCCCUGGUGAGUCUUCCCUCAGGUUAAGGAUCUGUUACUUUGAUACAGGAUUUUUGACAUUGUUGGGAUCUGGUUUGAAUAAGGCUACUUUAAUAAAAGGCCGUCUAUCCCUCCUAGCAUAAUAAAAGGGCUUUUGUCUAUUCUGGUAAGUCCUUUCUGCUGUCAAGAUAAAUAUCUUUCUGGAUUGAGCACUCUCGUUUUGUGCCAGACUUACCUUCUGUCUGUGAAGCAUUUAUUUUCUGGUUUGCACGCCUAGUUUAAUAGUUUGCUUGAUUUACAUAUUUUUGUGAACAUUUUAAUCCUGGUUUCCUGUGAAUUGGUUUGACUUUUUCCCCUUGCUUGUUUCAAAAAAAUGGCACUAGUAAAGUAGUUGCCACUAUUGAAAACACUAGUCUAAACUCCUGGUAUUUUCUUAUAAGAUUUAUAGGAUUUUCUUUGCUCUCUAGCUAUUAAUAAGAAACAGAAUGUGAUUCUCAAUCAUUAAGGCAUAGAAGGUUUUUCUGAACUCCUGAUGAUUACAUAUUAUAAUGUAUUCUUUGGCACUUUUUAAAAUUAAUAGGCAAAAUUACAUCAGAAAAAAAUGUAGGUCUAAAUGGUCGUUAUUUUUAAAACUCACAACUAUAGAGUUAACAUAUGGAGUCCUCUAGGUUGUCUGUCUCUCUGAUGUUUCCUGCCGGCUCUGUAUCUGUUUACUUUUCUACUGAGAUAAAACUCACUGCAUAUGGUAUUCCAACCAAGAUUUUUUUAAACUUUAUUUCCAUGUUUAUUACAUGUUUACAACUUGAUGUUAAGUACAUAUUAGAAUAGACUUAACACACAACUUGGGAGAAAAGCUGACAUUCUCCACUGAAUGGGUUGAAAAGGAAUGUAAAACUACAAAAUACUUAAGUGUGAGUUUCAAAUUAUAGCAAACAGAACAAUGAAUACCUUGUCAUUUUUUAAAUUUUCCAACAUUAAUUUCAUUAUAAAAAUUGAUAAUUUAAGAAGGGAAAAUAAGGGAUACUCACAAAAGCCAUUUUACUUUAGUUAUAGGGCACAAAUAAGAGUCUUAACACAGAAAUCCUACCUCCAAUUUAAAAUGUAAAUACUUGAUGACAUAAUGAAUCAAGGAGGAUUAAUUAAUGUGAAUUGAAAAUCUAAUGACUUAAAUCCAUAAAUGCCAUUUGUUUUUGUCUGAAAGAGUUAGGCUGAUUUAAGGGUGACACACAGCAGAGUUCUAUUUGACAUUCGUGUCAACCAUUUGGUGCUCAGAAUGAAGAUGGCCAAAUACCAAGUGCUUAGUGACAGAAAGUCAGAAUUAAUCCGUUCCAAGUGACGGAGAGCCAGUAGAAUUAAUCUCCAUCUCCUGAUUUAUGGUGAACAAAUGGAUAGCUUUUUUCACUGCAAGUUUCAAAAUGAAACUCUGUUCUGCAGCUGGUGAAAUUCACAGAACAUAGAGAAUACUGUCUGUAGUAUAAUUUCAAUGUUUAAAUGGUUUAAAUACAAAAUUAUGGGUGAUUAUCAAAACUAUUAUUGGUAAUAGUUUAUUUUGAUUCUGUACACACCCCUUAGCACAUUUUGUGAAGAAAUGUGUUUUUUAAAAUACUACUUAUGUUUACUCAAAUACAUUAAAAAUCAUUUUAAAAUUAUUUUCUACCAUGGAUUGCAGAAGACUCUUACUAAAAGUGAAUAACGCUUAUUGUUCUCACUGUUUAUAGAGAAUCAUCUGAAAAACAUAUUCUUUCUAAUACCACUUAGAAAAAACAUUUAAUGAAGAUAACUCACUUCUAAUUACAUUAUUCUAGCGAUAAAACAUUUCUUCAUGUAGCUAUUUGCAACACAUGAUUUAUGGGUUUUCAAUUUUUAAAUUUCUCAUUUAAUGUCAUGUUAAAACGUUUCUAAAUCAGUGUUCCAGUAUCAGAUGCUUAAAUGAGAAAAAAAGGACAAAAGAGAAAAUUCCGUAUCAAUUAUUUAGCCUCCUCCCUUCCCUAGAAAACAUUUCCCUUUAAAUGCAAGGCACACUCCAUUUCUUAGAACAGAGAUCAGGAAAAUUUUGUGUGUUUGUAAAGGGCCAGAUAAUAAACAUUUUGGUCUUUGUGAAUCUCAUUCGGCUUCUAUUGCAGCUGUUUACCUUUGGCUGGUGUAGUGGGAAAGCAGCUGUAGACAGACUGCACUUAUUAAAAAAAAAAAAAAUCCAAAUUUGACCUUCGGGCCAACUGCUGCCUCAGAAGAACAGAUCUGCAUAUAUAAAAGAAUCAUUUGAAAGAAACUGGUCUCUAGUCAGAUGCGAUGUCUGAUUCAGAUUCAGAAUCUAGUAGCUAAUCACUCUAGAACAUUUUGAUGUCAAGCACUUUGAAUUUAGCCAAUUUUCUGUUUUAGUUAAGAUUCUUCUAUUGAAACACAUGUCAUGCUUUUCAGUGGAGAUAAUUUAUCUUUGUUUAAGAAUGUGCUUAGGUAUUAUUUAUUGAGGGGAUUCUGUUUAAAAUUAAUAAAUAGUGUCCAUACAAUUUAAUAUCCAAUUUAAUUUUUAAAGAUAAUAAAAAUAUAAUAGAAUCAAAACAUUUAAAAUAAGUACACUCAGUACCCACUCUGAUAAUUCAUUUAAGUCACACCAACUAUAGAAUAUGAAAAAUAGGCCGGGCGCGGUGGCUCACGCCUGUAAUCCCAGCACUUUGGGAGGCCGAGGUGGGCGGAU
Molecule: non-coding RNA, 5434 nt
Organism: Macaca mulatta (Rhesus monkey)
Lineage: Eukaryota; Metazoa; Chordata; Mammalia; Primates; Cercopithecidae
Source: RefSeq, a predicted model, not a curated record